Erpetoichthys calabaricus (reedfish) is the source of this 1597-nucleotide long non-coding RNA. RefSeq lists it as uncharacterized. The transcript is spliced from 3 exons. NCBI's taxonomy places the organism in Eukaryota, Metazoa, Chordata, Cladistia, Polypteriformes, Polypteridae. The record is from RefSeq and is a predicted model, not a curated record.
ACGGAAUCGUUGCAGAGAGGAUUAGGAAUAUUGAGGAAAAUUUCUUAUCAGCAUCAAAAUUACGGCCAGUCGUCGGUAAUUUUCUUAUUUAAAUUUCGACUUUCACGAUGAGAUAGCUGUGGUGAAAGGCAUUUUAAAUAAUGUGGAAGCUCUCGCCCGAGAUGUGUAUGUCCAUCACAAAGAAACAGAAAUGUGAUUUUGGGACGGUGUGAGCCAAAGGUGUCUGUAAAAUAAGUGUGAGCUUUGGCAACUGAAGUGCCUUGUUUGCAGCUGCAGUGGGAGACAGAGCUGGGUAUUGAAGCACAAGCCUUGUGAUUUACAGUUGGUAAUCUGCCACUGCUGCACUAACACUCCAUAAAAAUGAACAUUAAAGAAGCAUAUCCAGUGAUUUCAAGAAACAAAGAAAUUUUGCAGAUCCUUUGGAUGAAAUUAGAUUCUGGGUUGGAUUCAUUUAACCCAAUAAACAGAAGGGCACAGUAAGCAUUUUGUUAAAGAAUCUUCAGUCACUGCCUACACACCAAGCUUAAAAAGUGAAUGCUUUAUGGCGACUCCAGCUGGCUUAUACGUGGUAAAAAACAAAUUAAAGACUGCAGAGACUUCUUCGUUGGCAUCAUGAGGUGUGAACAGAAGAUAAAUAUUCGAUGGAGAAAGAGGCAAUAAGCGCACAUGACAGCCUGCUUGGAGGGACGGGAGGUGCCUGUGAUCACAAGGACAGCUGACAGGAUUUUCAUCUUGAGCUCAGCAACUGUGCAGGCAGUAAAAUGUUUAGAUCGACAUUUGAAUGGUGAAAGCUCUGUCUGAAGAUGCAAGACUGCUACUCCUUCUGUAUUUUAAUAGGAAUCGGAGGAAACAUUUUUUGAGAGACACUUUUGAAAGCAGUUGUUUUGGAAUUUAAUUAAUGAGAAAAGCAGUCUGUACCUUACUUCCAUUUUUUGAGAUUUAGAUUGAUGUGCAGAACUGAGAGGAAGAUGAAAGGGUCAAGCAGGCCUGUCACUUUAUAAGAAACUCAUUAAAUAUGUGGAAAUAACAAGCAAGUAACUCAGUUAACCAUAGCUGAUGAGGAGUUUAAUAUCUGAACACCAAAGUACAUUAAUCAAGCUUCAUCUGGAAUAAUAAUGUGGGGGAAAAUAAACAUGUCAGUGACUAAAUAGCAAGGAAGCAAUUAAUCUGGUGAAAUAUAAUAUGCAUAAAGUCUGUCCUCUUGGCUCACACUAUCGUCUUGAGAUUAGACCCUGCUGUCAGGGAAAGUGCUACAACAACACACAUAAGCAACAGCAGCUUUGUCUUCCUAUCUUUUGAUCUGAAGCACCCUCUGCAUGUUAUGUCUGUUGCUAUCUCUGAUGCUUUUUGAAUGGCUGGUUCUCCUUAUUUAUCCGCCAUGUAUUGUGGCCAGCUCCUUCAGUCUGUCCUGUCAUCUAUCCCUUUGUCUGUCUGCAAUGCUAUGCAGCCAGCUACAUUUAAGAAUAUAAGAAGUCUCACAAAUAAAUGCAUACGGUUUACCAAGCUUAUCUGGUAAGCUAAUCGACAAGUUGCCUUUUAAAUUUUAGGAUGCUUGCUAACUCUAAAUUUGCUUUUCUGUGCUUCUGUUCAUUUUUGU